GUCAUGUUGGCUGAGUGGUUAAGGCAAUAGUUUUGUGCCUACUAAGUACACAAGGUUUCCUUGCAAGAGUUAUAAUCUCUUAGGUGACG
Non-coding RNA from Picea glauca (white spruce), 89 nucleotides. NCBI's taxonomy places the organism in Eukaryota, Viridiplantae, Streptophyta, Pinopsida, Pinales, Pinaceae. The record is from Rfam.